RNAcentral lists this ribosomal RNA (807 nucleotides) under uncultured Bacillota bacterium. Its description in RNAcentral is "bacterial SSU rRNA". It matches the Rfam family "Bacterial small subunit ribosomal RNA", at positions 1 to 799 of the family's 1533-position model. The record is from RNAcentral. Lineage: Bacteria; Bacillati; Bacillota.
AGGAGAGUUUGAUCCUGGCUCAGGACGAACGCUGGCGGCGUGCCUAACACAUGCAAGUCGAGCGGGGACAUGCGACGGAUGAGAAGUUUUCGGAUGGAUCUGAAGAUGUAUGUUCUAGCGGCGGACGGGUGAGUAACGCGUGAGCAACCUGUCCUUCACAGGGGGAUAACACAGCGAAAGUUGUACUAAUACCGCAUGAGACCACAACGGGACAUCCCGCAGGGGUCAAAGGAGCAAUCCGGUGAAGGGUGGGCUCGCGUCCGAUUAGAUAGUUGGUGAGGUAACGGCCCACCAAGUCGACGAUCGGUAGCCGACCUGAGAGGGUGAUCGGCCACAUUGGGACUGAGACACGGCCCAAACUCCUACGGGAGGCAGCAGUGGGGAAUAUUGGGCAAUGGGGGAAACCCUGACCCAGCAACGCCGCGUGAGGGAAGAAGGUUUUCGGAUCGUAAACCUCUGUCCUUGGUGAAGAGUAAGAGACGGUAGCCAAGGAGGAAGCCCCGGCUAACUACGUGCCAGCAGCCGCGGUAAUACGUAGGGGGCGAGCGUUGUCCGGAAUGAUUGGGCGUAAAGGGCGCGUAGGCGGCCCGGUAAGUCUGGAGUGAAAGUCCUGCUUUUAAGGUGGGAAUUGCUUUGGAUACUGUCGGGCUUGAGUGCAGGAGAGGUAAGUGGAAUUCCCAGUGUAGCGGUGAAAUGCGUAGAGAUUGGGAGGAACACCAGUGGCGAAGGCGACUUACUGGACUGUAACUGACGCUGAGGCGCGAAAGUGUGGGGAGCAAACAGGAUUAGAUACCCUGGUAGUCCCCU